UAACCCCGAUGAAAUUCUGCGCUAUCACUUUAAAUCAUACUGCGCUGUCGCUCCUAGUAAAAUUCUGCACUGUCACUUUAAAUUUGCCGGUUCCCUUGCGCUGUGCAAAUACCGCGAGACUAUAAGUUCAGUAGUGACGUGGCUUUCGUUCUUGGGAGACCUGUCAAAGCACUGACAGGUUGCAAGUACGAGGGAGCUGGGCUGUGUACCGCUGCUGCAGAUCGGCGUUCAUCAUCUGAAGCCGGGAUUUAAAUCUGCACAGUUGAACAAAAAGUGAACUGGCCAGGUCGCAAGACUGGUCGUCUUGCAGACCAAUUUACUGGAUGCUCAACCUGAGCACUGGACAGAAUUGUUUAUCAGGGAGUUUUACCACUCCCAGAAGGAAAAAAGAGGAUAAAUCCUCUGCAGAUGGCGAGCUAAAAAGGAGCCCCGAUCCUGACUUGGAUUCUGCCCUCUUCACUGCCAGUGCGGUAGGAACUAACCCCCUUCUCAUCCAACAAAUCAGCUGGAGUGUUUCUUUCUUUUCGUUUUUCCAAAAGAGAACUAUAAAAACUCUUUCAUAAGGCCUAACGGACGCCUUAAGAACUAGAAAGACAAAACAACAGAAACAUCCUCUGGACUAAAAAAAAAAUCCUUUGUUGUAUAUAUUGUGAUUUUUGUAUUCACUGUAUAUUGUAAAUACAUUUACAUUAGCAACUCAA
Oryzias latipes (Japanese medaka) is the source of this 701-nucleotide long non-coding RNA. RefSeq lists it as uncharacterized. NCBI's taxonomy places the organism in Eukaryota, Metazoa, Chordata, Actinopteri, Beloniformes, Adrianichthyidae. The record is from RefSeq and is a predicted model, not a curated record.